Molecule: unclassified non-coding RNA, 170 nt
Filed under: uncultured Sebacinales
Lineage: Eukaryota; Fungi; Basidiomycota; Agaricomycetes; Sebacinales
Description: sequence contains ITS1
Source: RNAcentral
AUGAUUGCGAAUUGUUGCCUUCAGUGCUGGCCGGGCUUCCGCUUUGGCAAGUGCACGUCGGUAUCCACACACUUGUGCACCUUUGGCCUCAUGCUGGCUUCGGCUGGCAGAGGAUUUUACACAAACUGAAAUGUAAUGAUAAACUGUUGUGUGCAUAUGCACUACUAAUA